AAACAGCUAAUCCUGCCCUUAGACUCGUAUGGCGGAGGUUCACCCACAGGUAUGCCUAAGCGAAUGUCCGCUCUCCGAUGCAGAGAUCCGCUUCCCAAUUUUCUUCCCAACUAGUUUAUGAACCAAGUGUGAAUCUCCGAUAAGGAGAUUCGUGCUAUCCUUUCGUUUUACUCCGGCUUAUGAACACUUCGGCGAAAUUGCUGGGGGAGCGAAUCAUUUUACGUACCCUUUUUCAGGGUUCUUUGAUCGAACCGGCCUCGUUCCACGGCGGAGAAGGGGACUUACAGUGGGUCGACAGACCCAACCCUCCGCUAUAAAUAGGGUCGGUCUCCGUUUCUCCGAUUUCCGCCUCCCAGCUGAGAUUCCUUGUGCUUACCCCCCACCAUCCCAUAUUUCUCUCUCUAUCUCUCACUCAUGGUGACGAUCAAGUUCAUCAAGGCUCGUCAGAUCUUCGACAGCCGUGGGAAUCCCACUGUGGAGGUGAUCUUCCUCUCUUAGAUCUCUUUCUCUAUUGCAAUCUCCGAUCCGAUCGUUAGGGUUUUUAGGGUUUUGGAUUGGAUUUUUUCUUGUAAUUGGAAAGGGGGUUUCGAGUUUCAGAUCGGAGGAUCUCUUCUUGAUUGAG
RNAcentral lists this long non-coding RNA (622 nucleotides) under Phoenix dactylifera (date palm). Its description in RNAcentral is "long non-coding RNA (PDAC_LNC015448)". The record is from RNAcentral. Lineage: Eukaryota; Viridiplantae; Streptophyta; Magnoliopsida; Arecales; Arecaceae.